AGAAAUUUAGGUUAAAUCAGACCAAAAGCCUUCAAAGCUUUCAGUAAGUUAACAUGCUUAAUUUCUG
RNAcentral lists this transfer RNA (67 nucleotides) under Pygathrix cinerea 1 RL-2012. RNAcentral describes it as "tRNA-Trp". Lineage: Eukaryota; Metazoa; Chordata; Mammalia; Primates; Cercopithecidae. The record is from RNAcentral.